GACGCCUUACCCAAGCGGUUAAGGGGCGAGAUUAGAAUCAUUAUUCGAUCAUCUCGUACGCGUAGCGUGCGUCGGUUCAAAUCCGGCAGGCGUCG
RNAcentral lists this transfer RNA (95 nucleotides) under Calocera viscosa TUFC12733. RNAcentral describes it as "tRNA-Ser". It matches the Rfam family "tRNA". Rfam says of the family: Transfer RNA (tRNA) molecules are approximately 80 nucleotides in length. Their secondary structure includes four short double-helical elements and three loops (D, anti-codon, and T loops). The record is from RNAcentral. Lineage: Eukaryota; Fungi; Basidiomycota; Dacrymycetes; Dacrymycetales; Dacrymycetaceae.